UCAUUAAACGCCGGGGGGAGGAUGAGAAGCUUCGACAAGGUUCGAGCCGAGCGCAGCGAGACAACGCGCUUUAGCGCGGUCAUCCUUAGAAGCACACAACAGGAAUUUAGCCCAUUCCUUAAAGAAUCAGCAAACCCAUGAAUACCAUGGUGGGGUUCCCGAGCGGCCAAAGGGAGCAGACUGUAAAUCUGCCGUCACAGACUUCGAAGGUUCGAAUCCUUCCCCCACCACCA
RNAcentral lists this small RNA (233 nucleotides) under Serratia marcescens. RNAcentral describes it as "RtT sRNA". The stretch from base 149 to 230 matches the Rfam family "tRNA". The record is from RNAcentral. Lineage: Bacteria; Pseudomonadati; Pseudomonadota; Gammaproteobacteria; Enterobacterales; Yersiniaceae.